GGGCUCUUGGCGCAGCUGGUAGCGCGUUCGCUUCGCAUACAUAAUCUUUCCACCUGCCUGCGAAAGGUCGUUGGUUCCAUUCCUACAGUGUCCA
Molecule: non-coding RNA, 94 nt
Organism: Mycena olivaceomarginata
Lineage: Eukaryota; Fungi; Basidiomycota; Agaricomycetes; Agaricales; Mycenaceae
Source: the annotation of a GenBank genome assembly